UGCGUUNUGAACUGGGUGACUAGAGUGUGUCAGAGGGAGGUAGAAUUCCACGUGUAGCAGUGAAANGCGUAGAGAUGUGGAGGAAUACCGAUGGCGAAGGCAGCNUCCUGGGAUAACACUGACGUUCAUGCCCGAAAGCGUGGGUAGCAAACAGGAUUAGAUACCCUGGUAGUCCACGCCCUAAACGAUGUCGAUUAGCUGUUGGGCAGCAUGACUGCUUAGUAGCGAAGCUAACGCGUGAAAUCGACCGCCUGGGGAGUACGGUCGCAAGAUUAAAACUCAAAGGAAUUGACGGGGACCCGCACAAGCGGUGGAUGAUGUGGAUUAAUUCGAUGCAACGCGAAGAACCUUACCUGGUCUUGACAUGUACGGAACCCUCCAGAGACGGAGGGGUGCCUUCGGGAGCCGUAACACAGGUGCUGCAUGGCUGUCGUCAGCUCGUGUCGUGAGAUGUUGGGUUAAGUCCCGCAACGAGCGCAACCCUUGUCAUUAGUUGCCAUCAUUAAGUUGGGCACUCUAAUGAGACUGCCGGUGACAAGCCGGAGGAAGGUGGGGAUGACGUCAAGUCCUCAUGGCCCUUAUGACCAGGGCUUCACACGUCAUACAAUGGUCGGUACAGAGGGUAGCCAAGCCGCGAGGUGGAGCCAAUCUCACAAAACCGAUNGUAGUCCGGAUUGCACUCUGCAACUCGAGUGCAUGAAGUCGGAAUC
This 710-nucleotide ribosomal RNA is filed under the name uncultured bacterium. Its description in RNAcentral is "bacterial SSU rRNA". It matches the Rfam family "Bacterial small subunit ribosomal RNA", at positions 622 to 1333 of the family's 1533-position model. The record is from RNAcentral.